AUUUACCGUAUUGCGAGCAAACCACGUUUAGAGGAUGUUAUAGCCCCGCCAACACAUUGCUCUAUUCUCGUUAAAUGACUUCUUGCAUCCGAUUCUACCUGCUUUAUUGCAGAUCAAAACACGAGUUCAGCUUUAAGUAGCUCCUUGAGAGCAGAGGCCCAAGUUUCUGUCCCAGUGUCUGGCAUCUUACGUGCUGUUUUGUUGAAAUAGUGAAGUGGGAAACCCAGAAACAGCGUGUAGGUGGCCCGAAGUCCACGGUUAGUAUUUGCAUGUUGGCCAUUUCCAAGUUACACCAGAAGAGUUAGAGAUUCAUGUUACCCUACCAAAAUUAUUCCGUAAUACCAAGAUAUGAAUUUGUUUAGUGUAGAUACGGGGAUAGAGUGACUAUGAGAUACCGUGGGUAGGUGCUCAACAAUUAUGCAUAUGCCCAUUUAUAGAAUUUACCUGCCAGGCACCGUUCUAGGCAUUUUACUUCUCUCAAAUCACUUAAUCCUCAAUACAAGCAUCUCACCCUGUUCCACGGAUGAGAGAACUGAAGCAUAAAGAGGUUCAGCCAAGGUCAUGUACCGGUAGCAGAGUCAAACGUCUGGCUCUUGACCUUGGCUCAGGUCGUGAUCUCACGGCUGGUGGGUCUGAGCCCCACAGCGGCACAGAAUCUGCUUGAAAUUCUCUCCCACUUUCUCUGCCUCUCCCCUGCUCAUGGGUUCUAUCUCCCUCUCAAAGUAAAUAAACUAAAAAAAAUAAAAAUAAAAAAAAUAAAUAAAGGAAUGCAGGCAGCCUGAAGCCAGAGUUGGUAGUCUUAAUACUAAAUAUUCCUUCCACUGCUAGACUCAACUAAGAAAGCAGGGGGGUUACAAGUCUGUGAAGGUAUUUGUGAAAUAUGUAAGAUUAAAGGGCUUUAGUGCCCAAAUUAAGGACUUGAAAUUUGGUAAGGUUGCAAUUUGAAUGAAUUCACACGAAGCAAUCGUUAGGUAACUGGAGCUACCUGCCAGGACCCCAUUGGUAUCCCCUCUUUGAAGGCUGUGUGUCCGGUGUAGAUGAUUCGAGAAGUUUCCUAGACUGUCAUCAUCAGAUAUCUCAAGGAGGAGGUGCUUUAGUGUUCCUGGAAGCAGAUGAGCCGGAAAAUACACACAUUGCAGACAUGCCCUCAGAGAGAAGCUUUUUUGUUUGUUUUGUUCUAAAUCUCUUCUCUUGAACUCGGCCUUGACCUCCAGCUGAAAUGAGAUGCGGCAGCUUUUAAAAAGUCAUUGGGAGUCUUGGAUUCAGCUCCGUGGUGGCAGAUUUUGGAGACCCUGGAAUAAAGAUAGUAAAGCAGGCAUGGUGGGAAUCUUUGGAACAGAGGAGCCCCUGGAGACAGUCUCGGCCUGAGGUCACUGGGGCGCAAUGUACCCGCUCCACAAAGUAAUUAUUCUACGGGCGAUUUCUUCAAAAAGUGAUUAACACUCGACUCUGUCGUGAUGCCACAGUCACUACAGACAAUAACUUUAAGAGGCUGAUCUUCCACUAAUGAAAUCCUGUGUUUACUUUGAGGUCACAUAGGUGACUCAGAGCCUGCGCGGCUUCACACAUUCAGCAUAUGCUUCGACACCUAGUUGUUAACGGAUCACGGCUAGCUUGUGUAUCCCCUCCAACGUUACAUCGUAAGCUCUCAUCAGGACAGUUCGGUGAAAAUAGGGAAAUUGAAGUCCAUCGUGUGUGAGAUCCUACGUAGUCCCUACUAAAUCUAGCUGACGGCAGUUGUCUUAAGUGGCGGCAACUUUCUCAUUACGGUGCCUUCUUAACCGCUAAGAGGGUCCACGCUUUCCUUAAUCUGUGUUUACAAGCUUGUCAAGAGGGGCACGGAAAGCAAGGUGCGCGAGGGGGCGUGGCUGAGUGUGAGCUAACGCGUCAAAGACACCUUGAAGAUACCCUCGGCCCAGUACCAUGUGCCCGUUAUCACAACACACGAAAGCUGGAAACCUUCUCACCGGAGCUCUACUGGUGACCCCCAGGGGGAACUGUGAUUCAUCUAUUCCAGGCGUGUAAACGUUCACACACUUAGAAAACUCCGAGGCAGGGAGAUUCAGCCUUCCGUAGGAGCUCAUUUCACUGUUUUGAAAGACCGAGGGAAUGAAUCUCUUCCUUCAACCUAAAUCCAUCGUGGGGCUGCGUGUGCCGAUUCCCCAGAAGAGCCGGAGAACAUCUGGUGACCGCAUCUGCGUGAAAACCCUUUCCGUCCUCCCCAACCGUUGCUAGAUUCAGAAUACGUGGACCACGUGCAAAGCUUCCCGUAACGUUAGGCUCCAGACCAAUCAUUCCUCUUGUCAGAAAAUGAUGGCACCAAUUAUUAAAACAUGAUGGCGGUUGCGAGCAAGGGAGAUAAAUUCAUCUACAAUGAAUGACCUGUUGUAAUAAAGUUUUGCAAAGCUUUCAGGUCUGCCGAAUGAAAGAGAGGUCUAUCGGGAAGAUCCAUUUAUCUUCUGUGAAAAGUCUUGUGCCACUGAACGAGGCAGAAAAUAGCCUCGAGAGCCCCCACCGGAAAAACGAGACCCUUCGUGAACGUAAUUCCCAUUCCUGUCAUAGGACGUGAUGCUAAACUGCCAACAGCUGGCAUGGGAAACUUUGCAGAAGGUACAAUGCCUGCUGGGUAAAUCCAAGCACAACAGGACCAAGUUCUUAGCAUUUUACAUUUUAAAUAACACCCACUAACGUUUGCCGACACGUGAGAUUUUCUAGCUAGGCUCUUUAAGGAAGGCAACUACAAUGUGAGUAACGAGAUUUGUCCUCUCACUUUGAGCAGCUCGUCAGAUGUGAAGUUUUAACAUGCUCACCGGGUCGGGAAGAUUUCCACUGUACGUUUCAUUGUUUGCCUGCCCCCCCCCACCCCCUCCCUUAAAGUUGCUAGGUUCUGCUGCAAAGAUUUUCGGGGCCGUUUUGUUGGCAGCUUAGGACGCAUCCGUGACCUUACCAAAGUGGAAGUGAAAGCUCUCAGUAUUUCUUCUUUCUUUCUUUCUUUCUUUCUUUUUUGCAACAGUAAAUCUAUUAAUUUUACAGUCAGUUGAACAGCAAUAGGUUAAUUUGUUUAAAGUCUGCGUUCACAAAGAAAACCUGAACCGCAGUGGCUUGAAUGCCUGAAACUGCAGCGGAGUGGCUGCAGGGUAGACACUCUUACAGCGCGCUCGGGACGGACGCCGGCGGUCCACUGUCACCUGCUUCUCCGCACAGGUGCUGACCCCUCGGUUGAGCCGGGGCCUCCUGGCGGGGUAGCGGGAAGGCUGGGCCUUUUGUGUGCUACAGAGAACGCUUUUCCAAGGACUGGGCCCGUUGUCUCCAGCAGCCUGAGGAAGCAGAAGAAAGAAGAGGUUAAGGGCCACCGCGAGGGUCAGGAUGGGUUAAAUUUAGUUAACAUCGGAGGUUAUAGCUUUUAACAAGAGCUUCAAGCAAACUUAUUCGAAGAUGCAAUUUGUCUCCUCUUUGUCAACGGUUAUUAUUUUUUUUUUUUUUUGCCCUAUUGAUAGUGACAGCCUAACAAAGUUUUUAUAUGCUGGAGGUUUUCAUCCUUUAUAGAGAAGAAAGGACUGUGUUCCUAAAGAGAGGUGCAGGUGGGGGACUUUAUAAAGCUUCCGUGAUUUUCAAAUUGGGAGGCUUUAGAAUAGGCUCCCUGCUUGGCUAAGUCAAAAAUAAUCUGUGAGGGAUGUUGAAAAAAAAAAUCCCCAUUAGAAAUGGAGGAAUGCUUCAGCAGUCAGAUGCAGGGGCUCAAGUUUCUAGAAGCUUCUUUGUGUGUGUUUACUUUCAACCAUCCCAGCCUAGUUUUCCCAGUUGUUUUUUUCAAAGUUACCAAAGAGGCCCCCUCUUAAGUUUCCACGUGUGUGUUUCUUUCCAUUUCGAGCAUAACACCAGGCAUCACUAGUUGUGUGUUAUUUCUCCGUGCAAGCAAAGGAGGUAGCCAUAGUUUUCUGCAUAUGUCCUUCAUGCCGUUUUCAUUCUAGCACUCCAUAUUUUCUCUCCACGGACUGAAAUCUUUCGGAAAUCGGUCUUUGGGAAGAGAGUCCUGUCAACUCUAGCCUUUCAAUUGGAAACACACACCUUUCAAAAGGUAUGAUUUACCUAGAACUGAUGUUGAGGGUCUUGUGACACGUGAAGGCUUCAGGUAUUAUUUAACUGCAUUUCUACGAUAAGAGGCUCGACUUCUUUUUGGUGAGUUUUGUACAUUCACGGGGCUGAGGUUUUAGAAUACCGAACCUGGGUUGCCAGAGCCACAGUUUUGCUCUGAUGGUCGGAAGGGUAAGUGUAAUCAAACAAUCUAAGUGAUGUACUGUAAUAUGCAUUUGACAACAUGUUUGCCUUAGGUACAGUGAGGACUCAUUUAAUUAUUAUUCGGGAAAUACUAUGUUUUGCAUGAGAGAAUCUUCCAGGUACCUAAGCAUACCUUCCAGAAACACACAGAACUUCUAACCACUUUGAAUAAAAGUGUCUUAUAUAACGUA
Molecule: long non-coding RNA, 4466 nt
Organism: Felis catus (domestic cat)
Lineage: Eukaryota; Metazoa; Chordata; Mammalia; Carnivora; Felidae
Exons: 2
Source: RefSeq, a predicted model, not a curated record